CCCUUAACCAAAUAUAUCUUUACGGUCUUAUUUAUCCCAUCUAUAUAGCACAUAUUUGAAAUAAUAUGCAUUAAUCUACUGCUCUAGAUCCUCUGCCGAACAACCAACCACUAUUUUUCAUCUCUGUUGCCACAGAUUGAUUUUGUAGGCCUAUGAACCCAAAUAGAAUCGAAAACCAACUCCAGUUUGAGUCAAAGUGCCUCCCCAG
RNAcentral lists this long non-coding RNA (208 nucleotides) under Elaeis guineensis (African oil palm). RNAcentral describes it as "long non-coding RNA (EGUI_LNC067767)". Lineage: Eukaryota; Viridiplantae; Streptophyta; Magnoliopsida; Arecales; Arecaceae. The record is from RNAcentral.